UGCCUAAAUGUAAAUGCAUUACUCUGGACGCGGCUGACCCCUGACCUUUCAACAGCAGCGGCGACACCUGAGAGACAGUGUCCGUUAAUCUCCAGAUACCAGUCUGCAUAGUAUGACCCCACAAAUGAGAGCUCCAUCAAUCAAGGCUCUCCUUAAAUGUCCUCUGAUGGACACUGGACAACCAUGCCAGCAAGUCAGGGACACGACCUAGUGUUAGCACAAUAUCUUCUGCAGCAAAAUCCACAGCAUACUCGCUAGUAGCAUUGGAGCCCACUGCAUGCCUGAACAUAUUGGCAAAGAUGAUUGGAAUUAUUUGUGCUGCAUCAAAUGUCACCUAAGAUUUACACUUUGAGAAGUGGCUACCACCACACACGCGCACAGAUGAUACCACUAAUAUGUGACUUACUAUAGAACUAGUCCAACCUUUCAAAGCCGGAAUAAUCCUUUAGUGUGGAGGGUGUCGGUCAGCCAGCGGGACAAACAUACAAGCAUCCCGGCACUAUUCUUGACCUUUAAGAUAAGGACAAAUAACUUGGUCAAGGCUGUAUAUGUGAAUGGAGGUUAAAUGAAAUACUGGCUGGCUGGCUGGCUGGCUGGCUGGCUGGCUGGCUGUCUGUCAACAGUGUAGUUUUUAGACAUAUUUAUGUUAUGCUCUGUCAGAAAAUCCUGCUUACUUCACUUAGAUUUAUUGAUUUGUUCCCCACAAAACAUGACCAAAUACAGGAUUGUGUGGAAAUAGAGAGUGGAGCACUGUAUGUGAUGGAAGAGACUACAGUUGAACAGCUAUCUAUGCAAUCCUAGCAUUGAGAAAUGUGUGUCUGUCACUGCUAUCGGCUGCAUCUGUAGAAAGCAAGGGCAGCCCAUAACACUAGCAAAUAUAGCCAUGCAACUACACUUUGGACUCAAGACAAGGUCGUAUUCGCCACUCACAUAUUCUUCCAAUAUCACCACACCACAGCCUCUCUGUCUCUCUCUAUCUCUCUCUAUGCUCUCUCCCCACAUGCAAGGGGUGGGCUCCCCUAAAAUAAACAUCACCGUUUUCGCUUCUCCUCCCUGCUCCCCUAUCCGAGGCCAAUGACUGUGGUAGGCCGGGUAGUUUUCUGGUCAGCUGUUGGUGUGGCAGUGUCAGCUGCCCCCCCCCAACCCCCACCCCUGUGACACCUUGCACAGCAGUGACUCUCCCUGAGAGACUUUGCUACCACCCACACUGUUGAUUUAAGCUCUCCUGUUUCACUUGGGGCGCAGCUGUCAUUUAACUGCAGCAGUGUCACUGCUCCGCUCCACCACCUUCUCCAGACUUCACCUCAGACCAGGCCCUUUGGCUACUCUGGUCCAACUCAUUUAUACUCUGAAGAAAAUGAGGUGAGGCCAAAAGAGAUCUCACUGUGGGGUGUGCUUGUCAUGGAAAUGUACACUACGUCCCAAACACUGGUGUGCAGGCCUCGGGCAGUCCUGACAGUAUAAGCCGUGGAAAAAAGUACUUGUUCACUGAGAUUGCCAAAUUCAGAUUACAACAGUCGAGUGAACGCAUACUUUAUUUGAGGCAUACUUUAAGGGGCUUAAUUAGAAAUGUAAUGACACCAUCACAUUAUCACAAUAGAGACGGCAAGAUAUUAUUGCAAUUUUACCCCGUUAAAUGUCACAGCAUGACAGUGACACAUAGACCCAGCACACACACACACAGACACACACACACACUCACUAAUCCUCAUUCUGAUUUAUUCAUUCUGAACUAAGUCUAAAAGGGUGUAAUUCAUGCUUUUUUGAAGGAUGUCCUUGCUGGGAGGUCUGAGAAAGCUACCUGUUCUCCAACUGCACUCAUGCCUGUGCAGACACAUAAGGAAAGGUCGGGAAACUAGAUGCAGAGAUAUGGCCUGAAUUCCUUAUUGAUAUACCUGUCUGUAUACCCCUGAGGCGACAGAAACUCUUCCUGCCACGCAGUCUAUACAUGAAGAUGUCAACUGAACAAAGCUGUGGCUAAGUUAUUUAAGGUUCAGUGGGGCUACGGUGAUUUCACUGGUUCACAUAGCGUUAAAACGCUCUAGAGGGAUGCCUUGUGGGAGGAAAACACAAUAGCAUUAACAACAUUGUUAUACGAAACGUGAAAUUGUUUCGUUACUAAAUUCUGUUCACAGCCAAACUCUUACAGGAGUUUAUGUUCAGAACAUACCCAACCUUUGCUUUCCUGGGCUUUCUAGUUAGAAUAUUAUACAGAGAACUUCCUUUUCAGUAACUGUCCGAGAACUGUCAAGGCAUUACGGAGAUACACAGACAGCUUGAUAGAUAGAGAGAAGACCAAAUUACUGUCUUCGACAAAGCUUGACCAAGUUGUGCCGAAGAGUGGAACGCUCCAUUUUGUAGUGAGGACGGCAACUGAAGUUGGUUCUUCACAGUGUACGACGUGUCAAUUCAUUUAAAUUCUUAA
Molecule: long non-coding RNA, 2425 nt
Organism: Clupea harengus (Atlantic herring)
Lineage: Eukaryota; Metazoa; Chordata; Actinopteri; Clupeiformes; Clupeidae
Exons: 3
Source: RefSeq, a predicted model, not a curated record